Molecule: ribosomal RNA, 253 nt
Filed under: uncultured bacterium
Lineage: Bacteria
Description: partial 16S ribosomal RNA
Rfam family: Bacterial small subunit ribosomal RNA
Source: RNAcentral
UACAGAGGGUGCGAGCGUUAAUCGGCAUUACUGGGCGUAAAGCGCGCGUAGGCGGCUUUGCAAGUCGGGUGUGAAAUCCCCAGGCUUAACCUGGGAACUGCAUUCGAGACUGCAUUGCUAGAGUAUGGGAGAGGGAAGUGGAAUUUCCGGUGUAGCGGUGAAAUGCGUAGAUAUCGGAAGGAACAUCAGUGGCGAAAGCGACUUCCUGGACCAAUACUGACGCUCAUGUGCGAAAGCGUGGGGAGCAAACAGG